CACGUAGGCGGAUUGGAAAGUCAGAGGUGAAAUUCCAGGGCUCAACCUUGGAACUGCCUUUGAAACUCCCAGUCUUGAGGUCGAGAGAGGUGAGUGGAAUUCCGAGUGUAGAGGUGAAAUUCGUAGAUAUUCGGAGGAACACCAGUGGCGAAGGCGGCUCACUGGCUCGAUACUGACGCUGAGGUGCGAAAGCGUGGGAGCAAACA
RNAcentral lists this ribosomal RNA (206 nucleotides) under uncultured bacterium. RNAcentral's name for it is "partial 16S ribosomal RNA". It matches the Rfam family "Bacterial small subunit ribosomal RNA", at positions 568 to 774 of the family's 1533-position model. The record is from RNAcentral.